Molecule: long non-coding RNA, 650 nt
Filed under: Nicotiana benthamiana
Lineage: Eukaryota; Viridiplantae; Streptophyta; Magnoliopsida; Solanales; Solanaceae
Description: long non-coding RNA (NBEN_LNC039861)
Source: RNAcentral
UAAGCUUUAUCUCGUCUCCUUAGUCCUGAUGAUGGAUAAGAGAUGCAAUUUAUCUAAAGUUUUGAGGUUACCUAGUAAUGAGUUUCCUGCUAUCAAUCACUGAGUUUUGGCUGUUGUUAAAAAUUGUUUGCUUUUCUUUUACAUGUGAAACAGGUUUCUUUGGGACUAUCUUCAAUUCGAAAGGGGCCUUAUUAUUUAUGAGCCUAUCGACCUUAUCGUUGUGUGUUUGUUAUGGCUUUCUUGAGCUAUGUUUCUUAGACUUAUUGUUUAUGAGCCUGUCGACCUUAUCGUUGUGUGUUUGUUAUGGCUUUCUUGAGCUAUGUUUAUUCAUAGUGGAAUUUAAAUUGCUACACUUAAUGUCAGAACCCAGUCAUUCUUGUAAACAUUAAGAAGAUUAAGUACUAAGCUGUAGAGUCUAGAGAAGUAUUUAGGUACCAUAUAGAUGCAGGAGCUAUUUAAACGCUUUUACAUUGGCAUGUUUUAUCAUUUCCUUACAGAUCAGGCGAUAGGUAAUAUAUUACUAGACUAUGCCUUAGAGUUGUAAAUUAUCUAGAUUGCUCUGUAAUUUUCAAUAGAGUUAUAAGAAAACAGACGAUUUUCUCCAUUAACCAAGUAGAUUAAUUACCUUCAGUUUUAACCCUAUGGGGUGU